GACGAACGCUGGCGGCGUGCUUAACACAUGCAAGUCGAACGGAAAGGCCCUGCUUUUGUGGGGUGCUCGAGUGGCGAACGGGUGAGUAACACGUGAGUAACCUGCCCUUGACUUUGGGAUAACUUCAGGAAACUGGGGAUCAUACCGGAUAGGAGAUCCUGCUGCAUGGUGGGGGUUGGAAAGUUUCGGCGGGUGGGGGUGGACUCGCGGCUUAUCAGCUUGUUGGUGGGGUAGUGGCUUACCAAGGCUUUGACGGGUAGCCGGCCUGAGAGGGUGACCAGCGACAUUGGGACUAAGAGACGGCCCAGACGCGUACGGGAGGCAGCAGUGGGGAAUAUGGCACAAUGGUCGGAAGCGUGAUGCAGCAACGCCGCGUUCGGGAUGACGGCCUUCGGGUAGUAAACCGCUUUCGCCUGUGACGAAGCGUGAAUGACGGUAAUGGGUAAAGAAGCACCGGCUAACUACGUG
Molecule: ribosomal RNA, 468 nt
Filed under: uncultured bacterium
Lineage: Bacteria
Description: partial 16S ribosomal RNA
Rfam family: Bacterial small subunit ribosomal RNA
Source: RNAcentral